AAAGUCGUAACAAGGUAUCCGUAGGUGAACCUGCGGAUGGAUCAUUAACACUUAUCCAAGUACCUACUAGUAAACCUUUUUUGGUCACCCGAGUUUCCGCGACCGGAUCAUGGAACCCACAAACGGCAGAGCAAGAGCUUUCGGGUUCUUGCUGUUCCACCGGUAGAAACUCGUUUGUUUUCCGUCUCCUUCACUGGAAUCGGAACUCAAACGCAGUCUUGAGAGUCGACACUAAAAACUCUUCCGGUAGGCGCAAGCUUACUGCAGUUUCAUUCUGGCUGCUGUUUUGUAUUGUCAAACCAAUUUAACGAUUUGUAACCAUAUGUCUGAUUUAAGGGUUGGUCCGAAAGGAUUUCAACUUUAUUAUUUCGCGUAAUUUUUAUACAACUGUUAGCAACGGAUAUCUUGGUUCUC
Molecule: unclassified non-coding RNA, 414 nt
Filed under: Ascomycota sp.
Lineage: Eukaryota; Fungi; Ascomycota
Description: partial contains small subunit ribosomal RNA and internal transcribed spacer 1
Rfam family: Eukaryotic small subunit ribosomal RNA (bases 1-47)
Source: RNAcentral